RNAcentral lists this long non-coding RNA (1523 nucleotides) under Monodelphis domestica (gray short-tailed opossum). RNAcentral's name for it is "lncRNA (ENSMODG00000036004.2)". Lineage: Eukaryota; Metazoa; Chordata; Mammalia; Didelphimorphia; Didelphidae. The record is from RNAcentral.
AUGAGAUUUUACAAAAUAAGACCAUACCACACUUUCCUAUUUCCCUGAUGCCUAGAACAGUUCCUUAACAUAGGAGGUAGGUUACAAAGGUUUAUUGAAUGAAAGGAUAUGACUUGUAAAUGUAUAUUUUGUGUCUACUAUUUAAGAUCCACAAAGAAAUCAUCAAAGCCAUGUGAAAACAUGGUAACCAUUGAUCAAACAAUGUAAUAUUAUCACUAUAGUUUCUCAGUAGGUCACAAUCCCUCAAGACUCCGCAGUCAAAAUGGAACUCUACAUUGUUUCAUAGCCUCUUUUUUAGAUUGGAGUCCAAGAGCUACAUCAGAAGUAAGUGGAGAACCUAGGAAUUGGAGAGGAUAGAGUAAAGAUUGAUCCCAAAGAGCAAAGACCAUUCAUCUAAACUUAGAAACAGAAAAGUGGAAUGUAUGACAUUGAAGAGAGUGUCCAAACAUAGCAUCAAAAAGAUUUAUUUUCUUCAUCAGUACUGAAUGAUUCCUGACAACCAUCUAGCAGCAUUAUUUGUGGGUUGUUCUCUAACACCUCACCCCAAUAUAUAUAUAUAGUAAAGUAACACUGAUAAGUUAAGGUAAACAAGAUAUCUAAAUACCAUUACACAAAAAUCAGGGGUCUGUGAUGGCUGAACAAAUUGCCCUAUGUACUAGAGAGGGGAAAUCAGAAGAUGUCACACCAGGAAGUAGUUGAAUGAAAGAAGCUGAAUCUUGAGCCCCCCUUCCCUCUCUACUUCCUGUUCUUCCUUUCACCAAGCAACCUAAUGGAGGUUUUCUUCACAGAUGUUUCAGAUGAACAACUAAAACAGUCCUGUAUAGAGGCAAUUAGGAAGCAUAAUGGAUCGAGUGCCAGGAGUCAUAGGAUCUGGUUUCAAAUCUGGCCUCAGCCACUUCUUAGCUGGAUGACUCUGGCUCCAUCUUUCUGCCUAUUAUCACACAUCUACAUUGGUACAAGGAAUACAGAGAAGAAAUCAGAAAGGCCAGAAAGAAGCAUAGACAAGGGUUCUUGUUCAUUUGAAUAUAAAAAGACAUUCAGUUCCCAAUAUAAACGAAUUUAAAGUGGAGUGUAAGGUAUAUCUGCCUGAUGUGGAGAAAGUCGGAUCUCCUUGGCAACUGAAUGAGGAAUCUGAGGACUCAAAGGCUAGAGAUGAGGACCCACAAUGCACUUCUGGAGUCCACGUUGAACAGUUUUGAGGUAGAAGGGAGCUUCGGGAUCAUUUAGGACACUCUUCAUUUUACAGCUGAGGCAACUGGCGUCCGAGACUAACGUCCCACAGGCAGUACGAAGCAGAGCUGGCACAUGAACCCCCUCCUCCGACGCCAAGUUUAUUGGCCGCUCUGCCCUGUCCUGGGCAGACGCAGGCAGACCAAUUACAGAUCCCAGCCCAACGCUACACCUGAGAGACUUGGAAACAAACAUCGAGUCUGGGGGUUCUUUGUGGCUUUUUGGUGCCCCCUAAGGACUCCUUCCCCAAAUAAUUCCUUUAAAUUCAGGAAAUAAACAUACAUAGGAUUACA